ACCACACUUGAGAUCUCCAACCCCCUCUUCCUUUCUAUUUAUAAAAACUUUAAAAGGGCGGUUGUCGAUGCAUAUGUCUAUAAUAAAUAUUGCAGAUCUCAUUGAGUUGAUCUAGAUAUAGGUUGGCGUCGGAGGGGAAACCACUUCGCCAACAUAAACUGAUGGUUUCCCAAGGACAAGCUUAGUGUCUUAAAUAAGCAUUGAUCAGAUCGUAACAUGAGCCUUUAAUUAUUUGCAACAUUACCUUGUGUAUUGAGCAUAUAAGGAUAAUUGUAAAAAAAAAUAUAUUCCUUCGGGUAUUCUUGUCACUAACCUUUCUAAGAUUGGAGCAAGAAGAUCGGAUAAAUGACAAGCACAAGGUAUGUCCAACCAAUCAUCAUACAACAUUGAAUUAAAUUCAUCCAAACUUGAAUUUUUGCAAAAUUCAAGCUUGGGGGAGUACUUUACAUAAAAACAUCCUUUGCCAUGUUGCUAUGCUGGUUGUCCCUACCUUUGAGACAUGCUCAAUUUGUUAAAUACUAAUCACACUACUUCAUCUCCACUUGAGUAGAUCUCUAUAAACGCUGUCAUGCUACCGUUGUCUAUUUACUAGCAAGUGUUGGUUUGGAAGUACUCGCCAUACUUCCAUUGGCAUUUAAAUUAAGCAUGGUGCUUAGGUUAAAUAGCCUUCCUUAAUCUGAUUAGACAUGGAGUCUAGUUUGGUUAUUGAACUAAAAACUGCUUGAGUAGAUAUUGGUAUAUUUUGUCGGACUAACCCCUGCAGAAAAACUUUCAAUAUCGAUUUGGGAAGUCCUGAGAUAAACUCACAUCAGAGACGAAGAGAGUGACACAUGAAGUUUAACAAUUUGCACA
RNAcentral lists this long non-coding RNA (852 nucleotides) under Sorghum bicolor (sorghum). RNAcentral describes it as "long non-coding RNA (SBIC_LNC000965)". The record is from RNAcentral. Lineage: Eukaryota; Viridiplantae; Streptophyta; Magnoliopsida; Poales; Poaceae.